Molecule: ribosomal RNA, 468 nt
Filed under: uncultured bacterium
Lineage: Bacteria
Description: partial 16S ribosomal RNA
Rfam family: Bacterial small subunit ribosomal RNA
Source: RNAcentral
GACGAACGCUGGCGGCGUGCUUAACACAUGCAAGUCGAACGGAAAGGCCCUGCUUUUGUGGGGUGCUCGAGUGGCGAACGGGUGAGUAACACGUGAGCAACCUGCCCUUGACUUUGGGAUAACCUCUGGAAACUGGGGCUAAUACCGGAUAGGAGCUCCUGCUGCAUGGUGGGGGUUGGAAAGUUUCGGCGGUUGGGGAUGGACUCGCGGCUUAUCAGCUUGUUGGUGGGGUAGUGGCUUACCAAGGCUUUGACGGGUAGCCGGCCUGAGAGGGUGACCGGCCACAUUGGGACUGAGAUACGGCCCAGACUCCUACGGGAGGCAGCAGUGGGGAAUAUUGCACAAUGGGCGGAAGCCUGAUGCAGCAACGCCGCGUGCGGGAUGACGGCCUUCGGGUUGUAAACCGCUUUCGCCUGUGACGAAGCGUGAGUGACGGUAAUGGGUAAAGAAGCACCGGCUAACUACGUG